Molecule: ribosomal RNA, 427 nt
Filed under: uncultured bacterium
Lineage: Bacteria
Description: partial 16S ribosomal RNA
Rfam family: Bacterial small subunit ribosomal RNA
Source: RNAcentral
UGGGGAAUUUUGGACAAUGGGCGCAAGCCUGAUCCAGCCAUGCCGCGUGUCUGAAGAAGGCCUUCGGGUUGUAAAGGACUUUUGUCAGGGAAGAAAAGGGCGGGGUUAAUACCCCUGUCUGAUGACGGUACCUGAAGAAUAAGCACCGGCUAACUACGUGCCAGCAGCCGCGGGAAUACGUAGGGUGCGAGCGUUAAUCGGAAUUACUGGGCGUAAAGCGGGCGCAGACGGUUACUUAAGCAGGAUGUGAAAUCCCCGGGCUCAACCUGGGAACUGCGUUCUGAACUGGGUGACUAGAGUGUGUCAGAGGGAGGUAGAAUUCCACGUGUAGCAGUGAAAUGCGUAGAGAUGUGGAGGAAUACCGAUGGCGAAGGCAGCCUCCUGGGAUAACACUGACGUUCAUGCCCGAAAGCGUGGGUAGCAAACA